GACGAACGCUGGCGGCGUGCUUAACACAUGCAAGUCGAACGGAAAGGCCCUGCUUUUGUGGGGUGCUCGAGUGGCGAACGGGUGAGUAACACGUGAGUAACCUGCCCUUUACUUUGGGAUAACUUCAGGAAACUGGGGCUAAUACCGGAUAGGAGCUCCUGCUGCAUGGUGGGGGUUGGAAAGUUUCGGCGGUUGGGGAUGGACUCGCGGCUUAUCAGCUUGUUGGUGGGGUAGUGGCUUACCAAGGCUUUGACGGGUAGCCGGCCUGAGAGGGUGACCGGCCACAUUGGGACUGAGAUACGGCACAGACUCCUACGGGAGGCAGCAGUGGGGAAUAUUGCACAAUGGGCGGAAGCCUGAUGCAGCAACGCCGCGUGCGGGAUGACGGCCUUCGGGUUGUAAACCGCUUUCGCCUGUGACGAAGCGUGAGUGACGGUAAUGGGUAAAGAAGCACCGGCUAACUACGUG
RNAcentral lists this ribosomal RNA (468 nucleotides) under uncultured bacterium. RNAcentral describes it as "partial 16S ribosomal RNA". It matches the Rfam family "Bacterial small subunit ribosomal RNA", at positions 28 to 507 of the family's 1533-position model. The record is from RNAcentral.